GAUGAACGCUGGCGGCGUGCUUAACACAUGCAAGUCGAGCGAAGCAUUUGCAGUUGAUUUCUUCGGAAUGAUUCUGUUUUAUGACUGAGCGGCGGACGGGUGAGGUACGCGUGGGGAACCUGCCUCAUACAGGGGGAUAACAGUUAGAAAUGACUGCUAAUACCGCAUAAGCGCACGGAACCGCAUGGUUCUGUGUGAAAAACUCCGGUGGUAUGAGAUGGACCCGCGUCUGAUUAGCUAGUUGGUAAGGUAACGGCUUACCAAGGCGACGAUCAGUAGCCGACCUGAGAGGGUGACCGGCCACAUUGGGACUGAGACACGGCCCAA
RNAcentral lists this ribosomal RNA (327 nucleotides) under uncultured bacterium. RNAcentral's name for it is "bacterial SSU rRNA". It matches the Rfam family "Bacterial small subunit ribosomal RNA", at positions 28 to 334 of the family's 1533-position model. The record is from RNAcentral.